UGGGGUGUCGCCAAGUUGGUAAGGCAUCAGAUUUUGAUUCUGACAUUCGCAGGUUCGAGUCCUGCCUCCCCAUCCA
This 76-nucleotide transfer RNA is filed under the name Pseudobdellovibrionaceae bacterium. RNAcentral's name for it is "Bdellovibrionaceae bacterium (activated sludge metagenome) tRNA-Gln". It matches the Rfam family "tRNA". From Rfam's summary of the family: Transfer RNA (tRNA) molecules are approximately 80 nucleotides in length. Their secondary structure includes four short double-helical elements and three loops (D, anti-codon, and T loops). Lineage: Bacteria; Pseudomonadati; Bdellovibrionota; Bdellovibrionia; Bdellovibrionales; Pseudobdellovibrionaceae. The record is from RNAcentral.